RNAcentral lists this ribosomal RNA (407 nucleotides) under uncultured bacterium. RNAcentral's name for it is "partial 16S ribosomal RNA". It matches the Rfam family "Bacterial small subunit ribosomal RNA", at positions 30 to 526 of the family's 1533-position model. The record is from RNAcentral.
AUUGAACGCUGGCGGCAGGCCUAACACAUGCAAGUCGAGCGGUGCGGCGGACGGGCGAGUAAUACCUAGGUAUCUGCCCGGCCGUGGGGGCUAACGUUCGGUAACGGACGCUAAUACCGCAUACUUCUUGAUGAGCCUAGGUCGGAUUAGCUAGUUGGUGAGGUAAUGGCUCACCAAGGCUACGAUCCGUAACUGGUCUGAGAGGAUGAUCAGUCACACUGGAACUGAGACACGGUCCAGACUCCUACGGGAGGCAGCAGUGGGGAAUAUUGGACAAUGGGCGAAAGCCUGAUCCAGCCAUGCCGCGUGUGUGAAGAAGGUCUUCGGAUUGUAAAGCACUUUAAGUUGGGAGGCGUUACCGACAGAAUAAGCACCGGCUAACUCUGUGCCAGCAGCCGCGGUAAUAC